AUGGCCGACCCAUCGGCGAGCCCCUCCGGCGACGGCGGGAGCCGCGUUAGCGGCAGCCCCACGGCCGGCGGCAUCGGGGAGGAGCGGGACGUGUUUCUGCCCGUCGCCGAUAUCAGCCGCUCUUGGAUCUCUGCUUGGCUUGAACGGCCUUUGUUUUUGGCGGGUGACGCGUCGGUGCUUUGCAUGGAGAGCGGCGAGAGCGACAGAUGCAAGAGGGCGAGGCGGGAGGCCACGGCCGGCAACGACCUGCUGCCCGAGAUGGCGAAGCAGGGGUUUCAGGCCCACCCGCACAAGAACAGAUCGGAGCUCCCUUGCACAAUGGAGGUGGUGGAGCCAAACCCCUUGCCCGUGUCCGAUGUCAGGGAUUGGUCUGAGCUCCCACUCGAUGCGCUUUCUGCAAUCUUCAUGAAGCUUGGGACCAUUGAGAUUCUGAUGCACGCGGAACUUGUGUGUUGCUCAUGGCGCAUAACAGCCAAGUCCCCCGAGUUGUGGCGUUUCGUGGACAUGACGCGCCACAAGGUGGUUUUCUCAAAGGCAGAAAAUGUCUUGUGCGAAAUGGCAAAGGUGGCUAUAGAUCGCUCCGAGGGACGGAUGGAAUCGUUCUGGGCUCAGAAGUUUGUCACUAGCGAACUCCUGAAUUACAUUGCAAGCAGAUGCAACUCAUUGAAGAGCAUUCGGCUCAUUGCCUCCCAAUACUUUUGGGACGACGGAGUAACUAAGCUUGCGGCUAGAUGUCCAAUCCUAGAAGAGAUAGAGUACUCUGGUCAGAAGCUGUCGUGGCCAUUUUUCAAGCGGAUCGGUGCUGCUCGCCCAGAGCUGAAACGUUUAAGAGUCCGUUUGCCUUGGGUCGACGAGGAGGAAGAGGAGGAGCUUUAUGAGGCCUGGGAGGCGAGACAGAACGAGGAGGCCUUCGCCAUAGCAGAGAGCUUGCAGGAGUUGCAGCUCCUUCAGAUGGCAGGCUACGGCCUGACUGAAAAGGGGGUGUACGCCAUUCUUAAGGCUGCCCCCACCUCGAAUUCCUCGACCUUAGAGAAUGCGACAACCUUGAAGUUGACGAUGAAUUCCGAGCUCGCUGUGCCAAUAUCAGGCAUGCCCGGCUGCCAGGAGUGGUGGGGUCUCCGCCUCACGCUCAGUGCCCAGAUCUCCAUACCAUCGAGGAGAACGAAGGUGAAGUGA
This 1176-nucleotide ribosomal RNA is filed under the name Triticum aestivum (bread wheat). Its description in RNAcentral is "partial small subunit ribosomal RNA". Lineage: Eukaryota; Viridiplantae; Streptophyta; Magnoliopsida; Poales; Poaceae. The record is from RNAcentral.